CCCCAUGCGUCCUGAACUGGAGGCUGUUGUAGCUCUCUGAGGGGCAUCUGUAGUGGGGUUCUUUCCCCCUGUUCCUUGGUGGAGUGCAGCCUCUGUCUAAUUCCUGUGUUUUCUUCCCCCUUCCCAUCAGUACUCUCCAGGAGAGGUGGAUACAAUCUAGGUGAUCCGGUUGAGGUGGAAUCCUGGGGGCGUUGACCAGAAGUCUCCAUUGCUGGGAUAGGAGCCUGCUGAAAUGGUGGCUCUGCGAUCUCUGGGAGAGCUGGUGGAGGAGCAGGGGCUGCUGCAGGAACUUCACCUGGCCCUGGAUCGGUCAGCAAGGCAGCCUCCGGUCCUGGUGGUGCGCUGGGCAGUGGGCAUGUCAUCGUCCAGUAUGGGGAGGCCCCCGUGGAGGAGAAUCAAUCCUAGCCUACCCUCCGUGUGAAGUCUCCUCUCAACCAGAGGCCAUGUUGAAGAGGACAGCACAGAUUCCACACGGAUCAGGUGCUGAUAAAAAAAUAAAUAAGACAGUACAAAUAAAAUUGCAAACUCUGGAGAUGGGAAAGAAAUGGCAGAAGAUGCUUCUAUGGAAUAAUUAGUCCACUGUUGAGAGGAGUUUUAUGCAAAGUUUGAAAUGCUACAAAAUUUAGAGGUUAUUUAAUAAGGGAAUUCAAAUCUGAAAUAAGUGGAUAGAAAAGCAUAUGAGAAGGUAAGUGGAAAAAUAAGCAACAUGUAAAUAACAAAGUAUCAUAAACACUUUAUUUCUUGAACCAAGAAGAUAAGCAAGAUUAGGAAAUGAAACUACCUCUUACUA
This 790-nucleotide long non-coding RNA is filed under the name Bos indicus x Bos taurus (hybrid cattle). RNAcentral's name for it is "lncRNA (ENSBIXG00005010831.1)". Lineage: Eukaryota; Metazoa; Chordata; Mammalia; Artiodactyla; Bovidae. The record is from RNAcentral.